Non-coding RNA from Glonium stellatum, 87 nucleotides. The record is from the annotation of a GenBank genome assembly. Lineage: Eukaryota; Fungi; Ascomycota; Dothideomycetes; Gloniales; Gloniaceae.
GGUCUUGUGGUCUAGUGGUAUGAUUCUCGCUUAGGGCAAACCUGAGUAAAUUGCGAGAGGCCCCGCGUUCGAAUCGCGGCAAGACCC